RNAcentral lists this non-coding RNA (159 nucleotides) under Frankia sp. RNAcentral also lists the same sequence under 1 other name. The record is from RNAcentral. Lineage: Bacteria; Bacillati; Actinomycetota; Actinomycetes; Frankiales; Frankiaceae.
CAUGAUUGCGCACCCUUUGGCCACUGGGAAACCGGGGAGAAUCGGGAAGCCGGUGAAAGUCCGGCACGGGCCCGCCGCGGUGAUCGGGGAGCCGCCGUCCACGCGCGUAGGCGCAGCCACUGGACCACGUGGUCUGGGAAGGCCGGGCGGGCAGGCGUU